RNAcentral lists this long non-coding RNA (2247 nucleotides) under Homo sapiens (human). Its description in RNAcentral is "novel transcript". The record is from RNAcentral. Lineage: Eukaryota; Metazoa; Chordata; Mammalia; Primates; Hominidae.
UUUAUUACCAACAUCGUUGGCAUCCCUGAGUAUGAGAGUUCAGAAGAAACUUAGAGGCUAUUGUCUGAUUCAAUCCUUGCAGCUUACAAAAAGAAAUGUGGGGAGCAGUCACUGUGUGACUAGCCUGAGGUCACUCAGGAAGUUAGAGGCAGAACUGCAGCCAGGGUCACCUCUCUUUACUGCUACUAGUGUGCUCUUUCUACUGCACCCUGAUCAUAAAACAUCUCCCAACCCAGGAACAAGGUCUACCGCAUAGGUGGUCACAGCAGCAUGAUCACUAUCUCAGUCAUCUGUACUCCUCCUUUGCUUUGACCAAAGACACAGGAAGGGACCUUUUGCCCCACAUAAAACACCUCUCAGAGGCUUGGCAACAACAACAGAUAAUAGAGAGCAUUGACCUAAGACCAACAUUUCAACCAUGGUGUCAAAACAAUAUUUUAUUUCAGCAAAGAAAAACUAUGUCACAAGUGGAUUAUUAUUACUAAUAAUCAGACUAGUGGUACUUGCGAAUGACUUGGUUUCAUACUCACACUUGGACAACUAUGCACACUGAGUAUAACUGACCUUAUGAGAACAUCAUUCUCACUAAGAUUAUGAUGUGCUUUCUCACGUGAGAACUGUACAUAAUAUUGUGUGUACCCUUGGGAGGAUGUCCUGCCUGUGAUGUUGUCUUUCAGGGGAAGAAGAAUGGUUGAGAAUUGAGGGUAUAUUAAACAUUUACUCCUCCAGAUUUUUCAAGAUUUCUGUUAAGCCAGAUCAGAAGAAAGCCAUCUAUUUGGAUUGCAUCACUCUAACCUGGAAAUACCAAUAUUUUCUAAGCAUGGCAAGUGUUUCCAAGCAUUCAGAAGUGGAGAGUGUGGGAAAUCCACUGCAGAAUGAGGUCUGCUUGUCAUCCUCUCAGUCUCAACUGCUCUCCCUCCUUCAUCGCUCUCUGUUUCAUUGGUGAGUAUAGAAGAUCAGGCAUUUUUAUAUGAAAUGAAAAUUGAUGGAACUAAGGUGUUGAUUUGAAUAUCCAACCGACCAUUUAUUGAGUGUCCAUUACAAGUUAAAUUGUGUUGUAGAGAACAGCUCAGGAAAUGAAUGCUUGACAUUGAUGUACAUAACAAAAAUACAAACAUACCAUUAAAAAAUCAGACCUCUUAUGAGCAUCCAGAUUCUCAUGUAAGUUUUGUGAAGCUCUUUCAAAAUGAGAAUGUAAAAUUUCAAAAAAAACAUCAUUUUCACAAGUCAUUCUUGAGACAGAAAAGUGGAAAUAGAAGUUCAUAUAUGGAUGUUUCACUAGCUCAAAUCUUAUGUACAGUUUUUAAUCAAUUGACACCCAUAUAAUUCUUAGUUUUAUAUACUGAUAGUCAUUAGAAAUUACAAAUUUUAAAAAAUAUUCAUGUCUCAUUCUACGAAUCAAUCUAAAAAUUGCAUUCAUUUGGUUAUAUUUCUUCAUUUUACCUGGCCUUGAAUACUUCUUUCCUGCCCAGCAUUAAAUUUAAUUAAUGUCUAAUUUGUUUACUUGGUUUAGUUAUUUUGGCCAUGUUCAGUACACUUGUUAUGAAGCAGGCAUGUAGGAAUGUUGACAAGUUUAUGGUCCUCACUCUUCCAAAUCCCUAAUGGCGGCACCCCAACAGACACAUACCACAAUGUAAACACAUACACACACACACAAUCACACCCACCCAUACUCACCCACGUACACACAGACACACACACACACUCCAGUGGAUCAACACAUAAAACACUCCACAGGCAGACAUCGUACAGCAGGGAUCUCUUAGUGCACUACACACUUCUGUAAAUUAUCAGGACUCUUCAAUUGAGGUGAGUCUACAGAGAUUUCAAAGGCUAUUUGAGUGCUAAGCUAUCUAACUAGUGGUUGGACACUAUUUAAAUAAUGCAUUAAACACAACUCUUGAGGCUCUGAAGAAUUUCUGUGCUUUCCAAUGAACCAGGAGUUACAAGGUUCUGAAAGCCACAACUGUGUUACAUCCUUUAAUAGAUAAAGCAAAGCUGAUUUUAAUGUGAAUAUACUUUAUAGUUAUUUCUAUUCCUGUUAAUUUUUGUUUGCUUGUAAUACACAUUUUUAUGUAACUGGGAGUAAGGAACAUCUUAGGAAAAAUAAAACAAAAAAUAAAAUUUCGCUGUUUACACUGUGCCUUGGUCCAGUAACCCUGCACUGCACAUAUACACUUUAAAUUGGUGUCUUGGGGAACCACUUUGGUAUUUCUUUUUUUUUCGUUUAUGUUGUAAACCUUUCUU